This 495-nucleotide ribosomal RNA is filed under the name uncultured bacterium. RNAcentral's name for it is "partial 16S ribosomal RNA". It matches the Rfam family "Bacterial small subunit ribosomal RNA", at positions 30 to 506 of the family's 1533-position model. The record is from RNAcentral.
AUGAACGCUGGCGGCGUGCCUAAUACAUGCAAGUCGAGCGAACGGACGAGAAGCUUGCUUCUCUGAUGUUAGCGGCGGACGGGUGAGUAACACGUGGAUAACCUACCUAUAAGACUGGGAUAACUUCGGGAAACCGGAGCUAAUACCGGAUAAUAUUUUGAACCGCAUGGUUCAAAAGUGAAAGACGGUCUUGCUGUCACUUAUAGAUGGAUCCGCGCUGCAUUAGCUAGUUGGUAAGGUAACGGCUUACCAAGGCAACGAUGCAUAGCCGACCUGAGAGGGGGAGGGGAGAGCAGGGAAAUGGAGAGAGGGGGAGAACCGGACGGGGGGCAGGAGGAGGGAAUUUUACGGAAGUGGCAAAAGCCGAAAUAGGAAACGGCAGGGAAGUAAAGAAGUGUUACGGAUUGUAAAACCCUGGUAUGAGGGAAAAAAAAAAGUGAAGGUAACGGGGAACCAAGUGACGGGACCUAAUAAAAAAGCCACGCCUAACUAGGU